Molecule: long non-coding RNA, 2360 nt
Organism: Stegostoma tigrinum
Lineage: Eukaryota; Metazoa; Chordata; Chondrichthyes; Orectolobiformes; Stegostomatidae
Exons: 5
Source: RefSeq, a predicted model, not a curated record
UACUUCCUUCCACUCUGGAUUUGUGUGUCCUGGAAUUACCAUUAUGGAACUACAUAUUGUGUCGUAGUGGGCCAGCUGGUGUUCAAUGAGUUGGGUUAUUGUCUUGGCUUGGCCUUCCUCCAAAAACUUGUCUUCACAAAAGCACAGUUUCCAUGAGCAGAAUGACUUUCCCUACAGAGAUCUGCUGCCUCCACAUAUAUAUGAUGCAAUAGCAGCAAAAGCAGAUUCCAGUGAACCUGUGUGGAGGAAGGAAAAGUUUAUGAUGAAACUAACAUUUACUUCUUCAACAUCAAAUUGGAGGCCACAUUCAAUGCCAAUAGAUUUUCCUGUCUAUUUCACAAAGUGCUUCAACAGGUUGACAAGCUUCACUUUUUACUGCUACCAGCAUCCACACCUGCACUCUUCAAUGAUGCAGGGUUGGUGCCCUCACUUCUUAAUGGUAGAGUUGGAUGUGCCUGGUCAUGAAGUUACAGAUUGUAGCUGCAUACAAUUCCACUGCUCCCAAUGGUCCACAGUACCUCAUGGAUACCGAAUUUUGAGUUGCUAGGUGUUUGAAACCCAUUUAAUUUGGCAUGGUGAUGGUGCUGCACAAGUCGAUGGAAGAUAUUCUCAAUUCAAGUCAGGACUUGAAUUGGGUGUGGCACAGUGGCUCAGUGUUCAUCUGCAGAUAAAAGGAUCCACUGAUGUCCUGAAGGCUGACACUACUGAGCAUAAUGGAUGUGUCAAAGGGACCACCUUUGGAUGAAAGUAAACUGAAGCAUCAUCUGCCCCCUCAGAUGAAUGUUAGAGGUCCCGUAGCUUUGUGAAGAAGAGCAGAGAAGUUGUCUCCAAUGUGCUGGCCAAUAUUUAUCCAUCAAUCAACAUUAUAAAAGAACGGACUAUCUGGAAUCAAAGUCUGUCCCUACGGAUAAAAUGAUAAAGCAAGGCACAGACAGGGGAUCUUUACGUUGUUUCCAACAUACUCUGAACCCAGUCAAAAGUGUUUCAUGUGAACGAAUUAAGAAAGCUGAUUAAGAAAACAAUUUUAAAAAGAUGUUUGUGUAUGAUCAGAGGAUUAGAAAAGAGGAUAAUAAGAACAGAAAAUGCUGGGUAUGCUCCUUUUUGCCUACCGUUUAAUUUAUUGCCCUUCUCUUCCAGGAAUGCCUGCUUUGACUACAUUUAGUUUCUCUCUUCCUUGUUCACCUGCAUUUUCAAAAUGUUAUUGCCUCUCCCCCCAACAGCCACCUACCAUAAAUCUUUACUGGCUCAUGAAUUGCUAAAUCUCUAACCUCUUCCAAUACUGAAGAAAGGUCACCAACCUGUUCCUCGCUCCACAGAAGUUGUUUGACCUGCUGAGUGUUUACCAGUGUUUUCUGUUUUUAUUUCAAUGGCCAUAGUGACAACAACUAUGUGCUGAGUCAUUUGAAAUUUGGCUACCUGAUCACGAAUGUGCCAAUGAAGUAGGAACGCAUUAAUACUUUUGAAUUGGAAGACAAACUGAUACAGACUCCAUUUGGAACACUUGAAUUUUGUGUAAUUCGAGUUAUGUUUUGUAUUUUGCAAUGCAACCUUUCUACAUUAAUACAGUCAAAAUGUGCAUGUGUGUGUACCCUCAUGUUACAACAAGCAUUUCCCUAAAGUGCGUUAUAUGUAUAUUCCACUGGAUGAUCUAUGUAUUUCAUUAUGCAGUUGGUUUGGGGACUUCCUCUGCUGAAAUAUCAGUUUCUUCCUUUGAAAAUUUGCUCUUAUGAUACCUUGGGGAAGAUUCCUCAGACGGUUUGCUAGUACUCUGUUGUAAAUUAAGUCACAGCCUGCACUAUUAUAUGGCUGACUUAAGAUGUUUCCAUUUAUUUGCAUGUGGUAACAGAGCAGACUGUCACAAGCCUUAUAAUAUCCUCGUUUUGCCACAGAUUUUUGCAGCCACAAUAAAAAAUUGCAACCUCAGGAAAAGAACCGAAUGAUAAGCUUUUAGAGGUUUUUUUUCCGCCUUUUCCUUUGCAAUUUGAGAUGCAAUAGACAACAAUCUACUCAGGAUAAUAAGCGUUAUCAAAGGCUGAUGUGUUUUGAUCCUGAAUGUAACGGAUGUGGGUUGUGAAUAUUUUUGUCUGGUUUAUUUGGAAUGUUUACUGAACAGAGGAACUAUGUACUUACCUACUUCCCUCAAUGCAAAACAUCUGUAAUCGUGCCUCUCGCCCUGACAGGAUCAGAUGGUGGAGAGAAAGUAGUCAUGGCCUAAAUGUUUCAGGGGGAAGAGAUUGUGUUAUGCUUCUCUGUUUGUUGCUCCACCGCAACACAAAACAUAAAGUUGUACAUUCGCCCUUCCUGAAAACAAAGUAAUACCAGGGGUGGGGUUAAAAUUCCCUCUGGCUUGCGUUCGAUAU